GCGCUCAUAGCUCAAUUGGUAGAUGUAACUGGCUUUUAACCAGUGGGUUCUGGGUUCGAGUCCCAGUGGGCGUA
This 74-nucleotide transfer RNA is filed under the name Myoviridae sp. ctPuP5. RNAcentral's name for it is "tRNA-Lys". It matches the Rfam family "tRNA". Rfam says of the family: Transfer RNA (tRNA) molecules are approximately 80 nucleotides in length. Their secondary structure includes four short double-helical elements and three loops (D, anti-codon, and T loops). Further hydrogen bonds mediate the characteristic L-shaped molecular structure. tRNAs have two regions of fundamental functional importance: the anti-codon, which is responsible for specific mRNA codon recognition, and the 3' end, to which the tRNAs corresponding amino acid is attached (by aminoacyl-tRNA synthetases). tRNAs cope with the degeneracy of the genetic code in two manners: having more than one tRNA (with a specific anti-codon) for a particular amino acid; and 'wobble' base-pairing, i.e. permitting non-standard base-pairing at the 3rd anti-codon position. Lineage: Duplodnaviria; Heunggongvirae; Uroviricota; Caudoviricetes. The record is from RNAcentral.